GGAAGGAUCAUUACCGAAAAUCCACAUACCCACCGUGUCCACAGUGCCUGUCUUUUGGCGGGUGGUUUGUCGCUUCUGUGGCGAGCCGCCUUGCCCCUUUCAUUCUCACGCGUUCCACCUCUCGGCCUCUCUUCUGAGGGGCCUUUUGGCUGGCCUUUCAACAGGCCGGUCCGGCGCGUCGCCUCACGGCAGCGCGCCACCAUUCAAACAAGACAACUCCCAACAACGAAUGUCUUGGCUCUCGCAACGAUGAAGAACGCAGCGAAAUGCGAUACGUACGUGCGAAUUGCAGGAUUCAGUGAAUCAUCAAAUCUUUGAACGCAUCUUGCGCUUUCAGGCUUCCUGGAAGCAUCUCUGGUUGAGUGCCAUUCCCCCCAGAUCGUCCAGCACUCUGCUGUGCGGAGCGUGGGUGUCGGCCUGCCCUCGUGGCAGGGCGUCGCCUGAAGCAUCGCAGUCGGGUGUGGGAGCUUCAGAGCCCCAUGCGCUCGCCGUGGUAAGGAUUCGCGUCCUCAUCGGUGUGUGCGCGUGGGUGUCUCUGCCUACACUCGCUGAGUCUAACUGUCUCUCCUGCUGAAGGGUGACAAUUUCUUGGACCGGCCUCAACUCAGGGAAGGCGACCCGCUGAACUUAAGCAUAUCAAUAAGUGCGCUCGCCGUGGUAAGGAUUCGCGUCCUCAUCGGUGUGUGCGCGUGGGUGUCUCUGCCUACACUCGCUGAGUCUACUGUCUCCUCUUUCACGGGAGGAGACACCUCUUGGACCGGCCUCAACUCAGGGAAGGCAACCCGCUGAACUUAAGCAUAUCAAUAAGCGGAGGAGAAGAAAGUAACAACGAUUCCCCCAGUAACGGCGAGUGAAGAGGGAAGAGCUCAAGCCCUUAAUCUGAACUUUUUAACAGAGUUCCGAAUUGUAGUCUGAAGGCGUUCACUUUAGGCGCGCCGAGGCCCAAGUCCCCUGGAAAGGGGCGCCAGAGAGGGUGAGAGUCCCGUAUUUGGCCAUCGGUUGCGUUGACCUGUGUUUGUCCGGAGAGUCGGGUUGCUCUGGAUUGCAGCCUGAAUGGGAGGUAAAUUUCUCCUAAAGCUAAAUACUGGCGAGAGACCGAUAGCGAACAAGUACCGUGAGGGAAAGAUGCAAAGAACUUUGAAAAGAGAGUUAAAAAGUACCUGAACUUGUUGGGGGGAAAGCGUUUGCUUGCAGUGUGCGCGCGCCGAUUCAGCCCUCACGGGUGUACUUUGGCGUGCGCGGUCAGGGUGGGUUUGGCGCGGCGCUCAUGUCCCCUGCGAGGCCUUCGGGCAACCGGGUGGUCGCGCGUCGCUCCGGACCGAGGCUCGCUCUGUUGCGGGGUCGGUUGAUCGCGUUGCCGUCUCACAAGCAACUUGUGCUCGGCGCGCGUGAUUCCCUACCCGCUCUUCAGCGUGACCCUGACGAAAUGGGCGCAACCGACCCGUCUAGAAACACGGACCAAGGAGUCUGACGACUACGCGAGUCUUCGGGUGGCAACCCCGUGGGCGCAAUGAAAGUGAGGGAUGCUCAGCAUCGACCGACCGUGAUCUCCUGUGAAUGGUUUGAGUAUGAGCGUGGUCGCCGGGACCCGAAAGAUGGUGAACUAUGCCUGAGUAGGGUGAAGCCUGAAGAAAUUCAGGUGGAGGCUCGUAGCGAUACUGACGUGCAAAUCGUUCGUCGAACUUGGGUAUAGGGGCGAAAGACUAAUCGAACCAUCUAGUAGCUGGUUCCCUC
This 1734-nucleotide unclassified non-coding RNA is filed under the name uncultured fungus. RNAcentral describes it as "sequence contains 18S rRNA gene, ITS1, 5.8S rRNA gene, ITS2, 28S rRNA gene". The stretch from base 759 to 1734 matches the Rfam family "Eukaryotic large subunit ribosomal RNA", at positions 1 to 961 of the family's 3401-position model. Lineage: Eukaryota; Fungi. The record is from RNAcentral.